Manis pentadactyla (Chinese pangolin) is the source of this 103-nucleotide small nuclear RNA. Lineage: Eukaryota; Metazoa; Chordata; Mammalia; Pholidota; Manidae. The record is from RefSeq and is a predicted model, not a curated record.
UUGCUUCAGCCCCACAUGUUGUAAAGUUGGAACUAUACAGAGAAGAUUAGGAUGGCCCCUGUGUGAGAAUGACACACAAUUUCAUAAAGCAUUGCAUAUUUUU